UACGUAGGGGGCGAGCGUUGUCCGGAUUUAUUGGGCGUAAAGAGCUCGUAGGCGGUUUGGUAAGUCGGGUGUGAAAUCUCCACGCUCAACGUGGAGGGGCCACUCGAUACUGCCAUGACUCGAGUCCGGUAGAGGAGUGUGGAAUUCCCGGUGUAGCGGUGAAAUGCGCAGAUAUCGGGAGGAACACCCGUAGCGAAGGCGGUUCUCUGGGCAUUACCUGACGCUGAGGAGCGAAAGUGUGGGGAGCGAACAGG
This 254-nucleotide ribosomal RNA is filed under the name uncultured bacterium. Its description in RNAcentral is "partial 16S ribosomal RNA". It matches the Rfam family "Bacterial small subunit ribosomal RNA", at positions 524 to 776 of the family's 1533-position model. The record is from RNAcentral.